This is an RNA transcript of Gallus gallus (chicken), 1522 nucleotides long. RefSeq lists it as uncharacterized. The record is from RefSeq and is a predicted model, not a curated record. The transcript has 2 exons. NCBI's taxonomy places the organism in Eukaryota, Metazoa, Chordata, Aves, Galliformes, Phasianidae.
GCAUUACAUAGAGCAAAGCUGUGCUGCGUGGCCUUUACCCACUGCUAUGAAGGAGCACCGUUGAAGCACAUGGCAUACUCCCUAAAGCCUCUGUAGGUCAACUCUACUAGAGGAGGUCACCAGAGUGGCUCACAGCCUGUCCACACAACCCUAACAAACCCUCCUUGCUAAAUGCAGUGGACUGAAAUAGGUGCCCCUUGGUCAUUCUGAAGACUGACAACAUAGAUGCAAGCAGCCUGGAAACCACCACUCAAGACAAUCUAGUGGUUUUCACACCUUCAAGAAACAGCUCUGUGCAGAAGUGGAACCAACGCAGACAGAAGUAGAAGCUUUUCUGGAGGUCAGCUGCAGACAUGCUGCUGCUCACAGGACAGCUUGUAAUAAAAUUCCUGGCAGCCCACAGCACAGGAGGAACACAAUAGCACAAUAUGCUGUGGAAGAUACUGAGGUCUACGUGUUCUCAUGUUCAGCAAGAAAAGAAAGGGGACCACAAGAGUGGCUUGCUCACCAUCAAGAAUUGCCCACUGCCCGUCUAUUUCUGUGUGCUUCAGGUAGGAGUCUUCAAUAGUUGGGUCAUAGUCUGGCACAAAAAUCUUCUGGAAAAACUGAAUGGUGAGAGCGCUCUUCCCCACGCCGCCAUCUCCAACCACCACCAGCUUGUAUGUGGGGAGGUUUUCGCUGGGAACAGCGCUGGUAGCCAUGCUUCCACUGCGCUAAACCUGCCGGAGAAAGAGACCAUCUCUGAUUACUUGUUAGUGAAAAAUGAGAGCAAUGUGCACCAGGCAACUCUGACCUGGUGCCUAAGAGGUGAGGAAGAGCUCCACAGCUGGGAACCAGGGAGUGCUUCACACUGCCAUAAACCAUCAGCAUCCUGACUGGUACCCACAUUAAGCUACCAAAAUCUUGUGUGGGGUUCUCAUUAACUGUAGGGAUUUCCCUCAACUAAGAGCACUUCCUAGCUUUGUCAGGAACCCUGGCUGGCAAUGCUACCCACAACAGCAGGGUUGGAACUAGAUGAUCUUGAAAAUUCCCUCCAACCUAAGCCAUUCUACGAUUAUGGCCCUCCAAGUUUAGUCUUUGCUUUCUCUAGUCCUGUUCUCCCAAACAACUAUUUCAGUUUAUUGCACAUUACUGAACCAUAAAGGCAUUUCUCACUUACAAUGGUUGGGAGUCCCACGUUCCUUAUUAUAUAGCAAAGACCCUACCCUUCGACAAAGGGCUUUUCACAGCUCUGCUAACCAGCUUCUCCCCCACACUACACACCCGUUUUCCCAUGCAUACGGGCAAAAACAUGAAUGGAGGCAAAAUAAAAUCAGAUGUGAAAAUUCAAAUUGGAGUUUGUUUUACUUAUAGGAAAAAAGAUUCUCAGCCCAAAGCAGCCUGUGGAAUCCAAGCUGUAAUCAAAAAUGUAUCCCCUGAAAUAUUUGGUGCCAGCAAGCAACCCCAAAGUCUGCUGUGAGAAUACUGUUCAAGUCAUAGCAAUGCUCAAAGACAACGUAAAGAUAAUGUGAAUGAUUCACCA